GCAAGAACUACCUAGGAUACAAAAAACAUGUAUAAAAGAAAAAAAUUGAUAACUGAGAUUCCAUCAAAAUUUAGAACUUUAAAUGACAUCAUUAAAAUGAAAAGUAGUCCUUAAACAGACCAUAUUUACAAUGCAUAUAACCUAUGAGCAGAAUAUAUAAAUAAUUCUUAGAGCUCAUUAAUAGCCCAAUUAAAAUGUAGACAUAAGAAGAUGAUAAAUAGCCAGUAUAGCACAAGGAAUGGUGUGCAACUCUAGAAUCAGAAAAAUACUAAUCAGUACAAUAAUAAGAUUGAAUUAUACACUCAUUAGGGAGAUGAAGUUAAAAGUUUUAAAAGCCUUGUCAUGACUUUUUCUUUUUGUUGGAUUUUCCCCCUUUGCAUUUAAUUUGUCAUGCCCAAUGGAUUCAUUCUACUGGGUUUCCUGGGGUUGUGAUCCUCAUUGUCUUUUCCUAGGGUAUUGUCUAACAUUUUUUAGAGUGCCAGUUUGGUAUUCAUGAAGUUCCUGAGGUGCUCUUUAUCCUGAAAGUAUCUUAUUUCUCCAUCAAUUUUGAAAGAUAGUUUUGUAGGGUACAUCAAUCUGGAUUGGAGGCUGUUUUCCUUUAGGGCUUGAAAUACAUCACUCCAAGCUCUUCUUGCCUUGAGGGUUUGCAUUGAGAAGUCUGCUGUGAUUCUGAUGGUCUUUACUUUGUAUGUGAUUUGUUUCUUUUCUCUCACUGCUUGUAGAAUUUUGUUCUUCUGAUGGAUUUCUGGAAUCCUAACUAUUAUAUGCCUAUGUGUAGAUUUGUUUUGAUCAAGGCUAGCUGGAGUCCUAUAUGGUUCACUUAUCUGUAUGUCAGGUUCUUUUCCCCUCCUUGGGAAGUUUUCUGCCAUAACUUCUGUGAACAGUUUUUUUAUGUCAUGUGCACUCUCUACUGUUUCUUCAUUGACUCCGAUCAGUCUUAUGUUAUUCUUCUUUGCAUUGUCUAGCAGCUGCUGGAUUGAUUUCUCGUGUUCCCUUACAAUUUUAAAGCAAUUUUUCUUUUCCUUCUCUCUAAUUGCAAUCUUAUCUUCUAUAUGUGAAAUUCUAUCCUCACAUUGGUUCAUUCUGCUGUGCAGACUUUUGAUGGAGUUUUUAAUCUCUUGGAAAUCUGUUUGUAUCUGUUUUAUGGAUUCCAUUUGUUUCCUAUGUUGGGAUUCCGUCAUGUUCCUCAGAUCCUCUAUUUUUUUGUCUGUGUCCUCUCUAGAUUUAUUAAUCAUGUCUUGCAGCAUGAGCACAAUCUUUGCUGUUAUCUGAGUAAUUAUUUCUGAUUUCAUUUUUCCCAGAUCCUCUUUUGUUGCCAGUUCAGAGAGUCCAGGUGGUUGAGUAUCAGAGUGUUCCAUCUCGUUUCCCUUUGGGGUUGCUGUAGGUGAUCUGGAACUCUGUUUUUGAGGCUUGUUUAUGUGUUUUCUCAUUUCCAUGGGGUGUGUGGGGGGGGUGCUUCUGGCACCCACGUGGCUCACCUUCUCUGCCUUAGGAGCUUGGGAUGGCAGCGGGGGAGCUUCCUUCUGGGUUCUGGGACCAGCUCAGCUUCUCUGCCCUAGGAGCUUGGGAUGGUGGUGGGGGAACUUCCUUCUGGGUUCUGGGACCGGCUCACCUUCUCUGCCCUGGGAGCCUGGGAUGUCAGCGGGGGAGCUUCCUUCUGGGUGCUGGGACUGGCUGAGCUUUUCUGCCCUAGGAGCCUGGGAUGGUGGUGGGGAGCUUCCUUCCGGGUGCUGGGACUGGCUCACCUUCUCUGCCCUAGGAGCCUGGGAUGGCAGUGGGGGAGCUUCCUUCUGGGUGCUGGGACUGGCUGAGCUUUUCUGCCCUAGGAGCCUGGGAUGGUGGUGGGGAGCUUCCUUCCGGGUGCUGGGACCAGCUCACCUUCUCUCAAUAAUUUGAACUUUUAAACUGACCUUUGGGAGAAAAAUCCUAGGAACCUAAAAUGCAAGUUACGAAGCAAACCAUAAUUGUUAGUCAUAACCUAGGCAAUUGCAACACUGUUGUAUAACCACAUGCCUUGGAAGUGAAUGAACAUAUGUGUGGCAGACAGCAAAUCUAGUUUUGCAUGAUUUAGGUCAGUAACAGUGAUGGUAUGGGAAGAGUGUUCUGUGCAUGCACAGCAAGUUAAUGCCUACUUUUACUCAUUCCUUCACAUCUUGUCCCAACAUAAUGGAGAGAGUUUAUUUACACAGAGCCCAGAGUGUACAUAUUCCACAUAGUAUAAUUUUCCCACUUGUGAUGGAUAGUAAAAGGAAUCUACCUUGAAGAGAUGCAUGGAAGAAGGUAUUUAAUUUAGGAGGAAAAAAAUAACACAUUGUUCCUUUAAGUUAGUGUAUGAAGAACUAGAUUUCUCUCUGGAGUCCUUUCCUAGUGUACAGUUGUAGAGCAAUAUCCUAAAAUGCCAAAACAUUCACGAAGAAAGAGAACUUUAAUUUAGGUGUGGUGGUGGGGGUGCCUCCUGUCUGUAAUCCCAGUGUCAGGUGAAGCUGAGGCAGGAGGAUUGAAAGUUUAAGCCUAGCCUGGGUAGCUUAGUGAAACCCUGUCUCAAAAUAGGAAAGGACUGGGGAUGUUGUUCAGUGUGAGGACCUUGGGUUCAAUCACCAGUUCCUCAAAAG
This 2612-nucleotide long non-coding RNA is filed under the name Heterocephalus glaber (naked mole-rat). RNAcentral describes it as "lncRNA (ENSHGLG00100020135.2)". Lineage: Eukaryota; Metazoa; Chordata; Mammalia; Rodentia; Bathyergidae. The record is from RNAcentral.